CUUGUAAAUGCAUGCAUUCAUUUUUGCUUCCAGCUCUUUGUGAAACUAACCAUUCUAAGCAUUUUAUGUUGGGAAAUCUAUGUUGACAACUUUAUUCUUUAGUUCUUGCUAUUUGGAAAACUAAUCACAUUUAAAAAUGUUUUUUUCACUGUUCGAUUUUAUUCCCAGUGAUGUGGUUGCCAACUUGUUACAUAUUUUGUGAAUUUAUGCUUGUUAAUUAAUUAGAAAAUAAUUUUUUAAGGUUUAUCUAAAUUAGCGUGCUGUGAUACCUACUAUGGUGUGUGGGGUGGGCCACGAGAUCCUCAAUUGCAAUGCAAACUGUAUCUUAUUAUUAAUGAAUGGAAACCAUAAAGGGUGAGAGUAUCUUGUGCGCUGAGGAUUCUGUACAGCUGUUUUUAGGGGUUUUGAAAUGGGAUUCUGUCUUUCUUGAGUUGAUUUGAAUUUGAGUCUUGUCUCUUGACACAUUUGGUUGCAAUACCAACUCAUACGUCCAUGUAAUUUAGUGUAACAAGGUGAAGUUGUCUCAUGCCUUGUGCAAUGCAGUUGAAAUCCCACUUGAAGAUGAAUGGUGCCUAUGGCCUUAGUUUGAGCCCUUGACUGUAAUAUGAAAUGUUCUUUUCAUUCUAAUGAUGAAAUUUCAGCAUGCAUUUUGCCAAAGGUUUCUGAGUUCUGUGCAACAUGCUUAGCUUCCUUAUUGGAAUAGAAUCACUUUGUUAGUUAUUUGAGAGCCAAGACAAUCAUAUUGAGUGAAGUUUGUGUAGAUAGCUGUGUAGAUGAAAGAAGAAGGGAUUUCUUGAGGUAGACAAUUGGACUUGCUCUCCAGUUGCUGCCUUUGAAAUUGCGCUUUUAUUUGAGAAUCUGGAAAAAAA
Molecule: non-coding RNA, 869 nt
Organism: Camellia sinensis
Lineage: Eukaryota; Viridiplantae; Streptophyta; Magnoliopsida; Ericales; Theaceae
Source: RefSeq, a predicted model, not a curated record